GACGAACGCUGGCGGCGUGCUUAACACAUGCAAGUCGAACGGAAAGGCCCUUCGGGGUACUCGAGUGGCGAACGGGUGAGUAACACGUGGGUGAUCUGCCCUGCACUUUGGGAUAAGCCUGGGAAACUGGGUCUAAUACCGAAUAGGACCACGCGCUUCAUGGUGUGUGGUGGAAAGCUUUUGCGGUGUGGGAUGGGCCCGCGGCCUAUCAGCUUGUUGGUGGGGUAAUGGCCUACCAAGGCGACGACGGGUAGCCGGCCUGGGAGGGUGACCGGCCACCCUGGGACUGAGGUACGGCCCAGACUCCUACGGGAGGCAGCAGUGGGGAAUAUUGCACAAUGGGCGCAAGCCUGAUGCAGCGACGCCGCGUGAGGGAUGACGGCCUUCGGGUUGUAAACCUCUUUCAAUAGGGACGAAGCGCAAGUGACGGUACCUAUAGAAGAAGCACCGGCCAACUACGUG
This 462-nucleotide ribosomal RNA is filed under the name uncultured bacterium. Its description in RNAcentral is "partial 16S ribosomal RNA". It matches the Rfam family "Bacterial small subunit ribosomal RNA", at positions 28 to 507 of the family's 1533-position model. The record is from RNAcentral.